This is a long non-coding RNA of Zea mays, 533 nucleotides long. RefSeq lists it as uncharacterized. The transcript has 3 exons. NCBI's taxonomy places the organism in Eukaryota, Viridiplantae, Streptophyta, Magnoliopsida, Poales, Poaceae. The record is from RefSeq and is a predicted model, not a curated record.
CAGAACGUUGACGAAUAUAUAGAUCAGCUGACCAAGAAUGAAUUAUCAUCACCACCCAAAAAGAUGAAGCACACCCAGGUUAGCAAAGGUAUGCCAGAUUCUACAUGUUCAAAGAAUGACAACAGUUAGUCCAUCAUGAAAUACAUCAAGGUAUGAGGUUCCAUCACUUUUGGUCCUGAUACUUUUAUGUACAUAUUAACCUGAUGUUUAAACCUUCCUAAAACAGUGUCUAUGCAAGAAAAGCUAGGUCACUUUUGAUCAGUAGACUCUUAUUUGCACCUUGCACACAUAGAAAAGGCCCCAUCACUUUUGGUCACAAGACUUUUAUGUAUAUAUUAACCUGAUGUUGAAGCCUUCCUAGAACUAUGUGUGUAUGCAAGAAAAACUAUGUCACUUCUGGUCAGUAGACUUUUAUGUACAUACGACUCCACUGUUGGAGCCUUUCUACAACUAUGCUUGUCUAUGUAAACUCUGCAGAUACAUUAUUACUGGACACUUAAGUAUGCUAGUUUAAUACAACUUGCUGCUUAUUG